CUUGCCUCUGCCAUGUUAGAAGUGCCUUUCGCCUCCCACCAUGACUCUGAGGCCUACACAGCCACGUCGAACUGCAAGUCCACUUAAACCUCUUUUCGUUCCCAGUUUCAGUGUGGUGGAAAAGGAAGAGAGAGCUGAGGCAGACGAUGUAAGAUCUGCUGUUACUUCUUGCUGUGUGACCUUGGGUGAAGUGAAGUGGGUGUGCCUGGGAUCACACACAGCUGAGACGGGGUUUCACUGUGUUCACCAGGAUGGUCUCGAUCUCCUGACCUUGUGAUCCACCUGCCUCAGCCUCCCAAAGUGCUGGGAUUACAGGCGUGAGCCACUGCGCCCAGCCUGCAACUCUGUUUUUUGCUUUCAGGAAAAUCAGGCCAUGUUUGUGUCCACAAACAAGAGUGAAGAUAAUCUCUCCUAUCUGAGAAAUCCAGGAGUGGAGGAAUCCAAUGGGAACUCUGGCCAAGCUAAAAGAAGGUCUCAAGAGCCACAGAUGUCUUGGAUAUUUCUGUAUUUCAGACUCUACUACCCAGACACCAAAAGAAGAAAUGAUUAACCCUGGAGGCUGCCUUGGUCUAGGUGAAAAAAUAUAUGUACGAUGACAGUGCAAUCAUACUAGAACUCAGGAUUAAGAAACUCACUCAAAACUGCUCAACUACAUGGAAACUGAACAACCUGCUCCUGAAUGACUACUGGGUACAUAACGAAAUGAAGGCAGAAGUAAAGAUGUUCUUUGAAACCAACGAGAACAAAGACACAACAUACCAGAAUCUCUGGGACACAUUCAAAGCAGUGUGUAGAGGGAAAUUUAUAGCACUAAAUGCCCACAAGAGAAAGCAGGAAAGAUCUAAAAUUGACACCCUAACAUCACAAUUAAAAGAACUAGAGAAGCAAGAGGAAACACAUUCAAAAGCUAGCAGAAGGCAAGAAAUAACUAAAAUCAGAGCAGAACUGAAGGAAAUAGAGACACACAAGAACCCUUCAAAAAAUCAAUGAAUCCAGGGGCUGGUUUUUUGAAAAGAUCAAUAAAAUUGAUAGACCGCUAGCAAGAUUAAU
This 1050-nucleotide long non-coding RNA is filed under the name Homo sapiens (human). Its description in RNAcentral is "non-protein coding LINC00504:1". The record is from RNAcentral. Lineage: Eukaryota; Metazoa; Chordata; Mammalia; Primates; Hominidae.